ACCCGCUGAACUUAAGCAUAUCAAUAAGCGGAGGAAAAGAAACCAACAGGGAUUGCUCUAGUAACGGCGAGUGAAGCAGCAAUAGCUCAAAUUUGAAAUCUGGCGUCUUCGACGUCCGAGUUGUAAUUUGUAGAGGAUGCUUCUGAGUGGCCACCGACCUAAGUUCCUUGGAACAGGACGUCAUAGAGGGUGAGAAUCCCGUAUGCGGUCGGAAAGGCGCUCUAUACGUAGCUCCUUCGACGAGUCGAGUUGUUUGGGAAUGCAGCUCUAAAUGGGAGGUAAAUUUCUUCUAAAGCUAAAUAUUGGCCAGAGACCGAUAGCGCACAAGUAGAGUGAUCGAAAGAUGAAAAGCACUUUGGAAAGAGAGUUAGAAAGCACGUGAAAUUGUUAAAGGGGAAGGGAUUGCAACCAGACUUGCUCGCGGUGUUCCGCCGGUCUUCUGACCGGUCUACUCGCCGCGUUGCAGGCCAGCAUCGUCUGGUGCCGCUGGAUAAGACUUGAGGAAUGUAGCUCCCUCGGGAGUGUUAUAACCUCUUGUGAUGCAGCGAGCGCCGGGCGAGGUCCGCGCUUCGGCUAGGAUGCUGGCGUAAUGGUCGUAAUCCGCCCGUCUUGAAACACGGACC
RNAcentral lists this ribosomal RNA (623 nucleotides) under uncultured Ascomycota. Its description in RNAcentral is "eukaryotic LSU rRNA". It matches the Rfam family "Eukaryotic large subunit ribosomal RNA", at positions 23 to 667 of the family's 3401-position model. Lineage: Eukaryota; Fungi; Ascomycota. The record is from RNAcentral.